ACACAUGCAGUCGAGGGGUAACGAUGGUGCUUGCACCAGUCGACGACGGCGCACGGGUGAGUAACGCGUAUGCAUCUACCUUUAACUGGAGGAUAGCCCGAAGAAAUUCGGAUUAAUACUCCAUAGAAUUACAAUAUCGCCUGAUAUUGUACUUAAAGCAUUAGCGGUUAAAGAUGAGCAUGCGUGCCAUUAGUUAGUUGGUGAGGUAACGGCUCACCAAGGCAUCGAUGGCUAGGGGUUCUGAGAGGAUGAUCCCCCACACUGGUACUGAGACACGGACCAGACUCCUACGGGAGGCAGCAGUGAGGAAUAUUGGUCAAUGGGCGCAAGCCUGAACCAGCCAUGCCGCGUGCAGGAAGACUGCCCUAUGGGUUGUAAACUGCUUUUCUACAGGAAGAAACUUUGCGACGAGUCGUGAAUUGCCGGUACUGUAGGAAUAAGCAUCGGCCAACUCCGUGCCAGCAGCCGCGGUAAUACGGAGGAUGCAAGCGUUAUCCGGAUUCAUUGGGUUUAAAGGGUGCGUAGGCGGAAUAGUAAGUCAGUGGUGAAAGGCUGCAGCUUAACUGUAGAAUUGCCAUUGAUACCGUUAUUCUUGAGUGUAGUUGAGGUAGGCGGAAUGUGUAAUGUAGCGGUGAAAUGCUUAGAUGUUACACAGAACACCGAUUGCGUAGGCAGCUUACUAAACUAUAACUGACGCUGAGGCACGAAACCGUGGGGAGCG
RNAcentral lists this ribosomal RNA (721 nucleotides) under uncultured organism. RNAcentral's name for it is "bacterial SSU rRNA". It matches the Rfam family "Bacterial small subunit ribosomal RNA", at positions 51 to 770 of the family's 1533-position model. The record is from RNAcentral.